UAAAUCACCCAUGAGUGGGGAUACUUUGUG
Molecule: non-coding RNA, 30 nt
Filed under: Rattus norvegicus (Norway rat)
Lineage: Eukaryota; Metazoa; Chordata; Mammalia; Rodentia; Muridae
Source: RNAcentral